This 1879-nucleotide ribosomal RNA is filed under the name Salmonella enterica subsp. enterica. Its description in RNAcentral is "bacterial LSU rRNA". It matches the Rfam family "Bacterial large subunit ribosomal RNA", at positions 1 to 1899 of the family's 2925-position model. Lineage: Bacteria; Pseudomonadati; Pseudomonadota; Gammaproteobacteria; Enterobacterales; Enterobacteriaceae. The record is from RNAcentral.
GGGUUGUGAGGUUAAGCGACUAAGCGUACACGGUGGAUGCCCUGGCAGUCAGAGGCGAUGAAGGGCGUGCUAAUCUGCGAUAAGCGCCGGUAAGGUGAUAUGAACCGUUAUAACCGGCGAUACCCGAAUGGGGAAACCCAGUGUGAUUCGUCACACUAUCAUUAACUGAAUCCAUAGGUUAAUGAGGCGAACCGGGGGAACUGAAACAUCUAAGUACCCCGAGGAAAAGAAAUCAACCGAGAUUCCCCCAGUAGCGGCGAGCGAACGGGGAGGAGCCCAGAGCCUGAAUCAGCAUGUGUGUUAGUGGAAGCGUCUGGAAAGGCGCGCGAUACAGGGUGACAGCCCCGUACACAAAAGCGCAUGUGCUGUGAGCUCGAUGAGUAGGGCGGGACACGUGGUAUCCUGUCUGAAUAUGGGGGGACCAUCCUCCAAGGCUAAAUACUCCUGACUGACCGAUAGUGAACCAGUACCGUGAGGGAAAGGCGAAAAGAACCCCGGCGAGGGGAGUGAAAAAGAACCUGAAACCGUGUACGUACAAGCAGUGGGAGCACCCUGUGUGACUGCGUACCUUUUGUAUAAUGGGUCAGCGACUUAUAUUCUGUAGCAAGGUUAACCGAAUAGGGGAGCCGGAGGGAAACCGAGUCUUAACCGGGCGUUAAGUUGCAGGGUAUAGACCCGAAACCCGGUGAUCUAGCCAUGGGCAGGUUGAAGGUUGGGUAACACUAACUGGAGGACCGAACCGACUAAUGUUGAAAAAUUAGCGGAUGACCUGUGGCUGGGGGUGAAAGGCCAAUCAAACCGGGAGAUAGCUGGUUCUCCCCGAAAGCUAUUUAGGUAGCGCCUCGUGAAUUCAUCUCCGGGGGUAGAGCACUGUUUCGGCUAGGGGGCCAUCCCGGCUUACCAACCCGAUGCAAACUGCGAAUACCGGAGAAUGUUAUCACGGGAGACACACGGCGGGUGCUAACGUCCGUCGUGAAGAGGGAAACAACCCAGACCGCCAGCUAAGGUCCCAAAGUCAUGGUUAAGUGGGAAACGAUGUGGGAAGGCCCAGACAGCCAGGAUGUUGGCUUAGAAGCAGCCAUCAUUUAAAGAAAGCGUAAUAGCUCACUGGUCGAGUCGGCCUGCGCGGAAGAUGUAACGGGGCUAAACCAUGCACCGAAGCUGCGGCAGCGACACUGAUGUGUUGUUGGGUAGGGGAGCGUUCUGUAAGCCUGUGAAGGUGGCCUGUGAGGGUUGCUGGAGGUAUCAGAAGUGCGAAUGCUGACAUAAGUAACGAUAAAGCGGGUGAAAAGCCCGCUCGCCGGAAGACCAAGGGUUCCUGUCCAACGUUAAUCGGGGCAGGGUGAGUCGACCCCUAAGGCGAGGCCGAAAGGCGUAGUCGAUGGGAAACGGGUUAAUAUUCCCGUACUUGGUGUUACUGCGAAGGGGGGACGGAGAAGGCUAUGUUGGCCGGGCGACGGUUGUCCCGGUUUAAGCGUGUAGGUGUGUGUUCCAGGUAAAUCCGGUUCACUUUAACACUGAGGCGUGACGACGAGGCACUACGGUGCUGAAGCAACAAAUGCCCUGCUUCCAGGAAAAGCCUCUAAGCAUCAGGUAACAUCAAAUCGUACCCCAAACCGACACAGGUGGUCAGGUAGAGAAUACCAAGGCGCUUGAGAGAACUCGGGUGAAGGAACUAGGCAAAAUGGUGCCGUAACUUCGGGAGAAGGCACGCUGACACGUAGGUGAAGUGAUUUACUCAUGGAGCUGAAGUCAGUCGAAGAUACCAGCUGGCUGCAACUGUUUAUUAAAAACACAGCACUGUGCAAACACGAAAGUGGACGUAUACGGUGUGACGCCUGCCCGGUGCCGGAAGGUUAAUUGAUGGGGUCAGCGCAAG